CCUACGUGAGGCAGCAGUGGGGAAUAUUGGGCAAUGGGCGCAAGCCUGACCCAGCAACGCCGCGUGAAGGAAGAAGGCUCUCGGGAUGUAAACUUCUUUUCUCAGGGACGAAGAAAGUGACGGUACCUGCGGAAUAAGCCACGGCUAACUACGUGCCAGCAGUCGCGGUAAUCCGUCGGUGGCAGGCGUUAUCCGGAUUUAUUGGGUGUAAGGGGCGAGUAGGCGGGAGCGCAAGUCAGAUGUGAAAACUCAGGGCUCAACCCUGAGCCUGCAUUUGAAACUGUGUUGCUUGAGUGCUGGAGAGGCAAUCGGAAUGCCGGGUGUAGCGGUGAAAUGCGUAGAUAUACGGAGGAACACCAGUGGCGAAGGCGGAUUGCUGGACAGAAACUGACGCUGAGGCGCGAAAGCGUGGGGAGCAAACAGGAUUAGAUACCCUUGUAGUC
Molecule: ribosomal RNA, 443 nt
Filed under: uncultured bacterium
Lineage: Bacteria
Description: partial 16S ribosomal RNA
Rfam family: Bacterial small subunit ribosomal RNA
Source: RNAcentral